RNAcentral lists this ribosomal RNA (243 nucleotides) under uncultured bacterium. Its description in RNAcentral is "partial 16S ribosomal RNA". It matches the Rfam family "Bacterial small subunit ribosomal RNA", at positions 774 to 1019 of the family's 1533-position model. The record is from RNAcentral.
CGGAUUAGAUACCCUGGUAGUCCACGCCGUAAACGAUGCAUACUAGGUGUUGGCCCUUUUGGGUCAGUGCUGCAGUUAACGCAUUAAGUAUGCCACCUGGGGAGUACGUCGGCAACGAUGAAACUCAAAGGAAUUGACGGGGGCCCGCACAAGCGGUGGAGCAUGUGGCUUAAUUCGAUGCAACGCGAGGAACCUUACCUGGGCUAAAUCCACAGCGCUACCUCUGGAAACAGAGGGUUUCUU